RNAcentral lists this ribosomal RNA (449 nucleotides) under uncultured bacterium. Its description in RNAcentral is "bacterial SSU rRNA". It matches the Rfam family "Bacterial small subunit ribosomal RNA", at positions 329 to 794 of the family's 1533-position model. The record is from RNAcentral.
GGCCAGACUCCUACGGGAGGCAGCAGUGGGGGAUAUUGCACAAUGGGGGAAACCCUGAUGCAGCGACGCCGCGUGGGUGAAGAAGUAUUUCGGUAUGUAAAGCCCUAUCAGCAGGGAAGAAAGAAGACGGUACCUGACUAAGAAGCCCCGGCUAACUACGUGCCAGCAGCCGCGGUAAUACGUAGGGGGCGAGCGUUAUCCGGAUUCACUGGGUGUAAAGGGAGCGUAGACGGCCGUGCAAGCCAGGAGUGAAAGCCCGGGGCCCAACCCCGGGACUGCUCUUGGAACUGUGCGGCUGGAGUGCGGGAGGGGCAGGCGGAAUUCCUGGUGUAGCGGUGAAAUGCGUAGAUAUCAGGAGGAACACCGGCGGCGAAGGCGGCCUGCUGGACCGCGACUGACGUUGAGGCUCGAAAGCGUGGGGAGCAAACAGGAUUAGAUACCCCGGUACU